UUUUAUGGAGAGUUUGAUCCUGGCUCAGGACGAACGCUGGCUGCGUGCUUAACACAUGCAAGUCGAACGCUGAAGCCUGGUGCUUGCACCGGGUGGAUGAGUGGCGAACGGGUGAGUAACACGUGAGUAACCUGCCCCUGACUUCGGGAUAAGCCCGGGAAACUGGGUCUAAUACCGGAUACGACCGUCGGACGCAUGUCUGGUGGUGGAAAGUUUUUUCGGUUGGGGAUGGGCUCGCGGCCUAUCAGUUUGUUGGUGAGGUAAUGGCUCACCAAGACGACGACGGGUAGCCGGCCUGAGAGGGCUACCGGCCACACUGGGACUGAGACA
Molecule: ribosomal RNA, 330 nt
Filed under: Burkholderia multivorans
Lineage: Bacteria; Pseudomonadati; Pseudomonadota; Betaproteobacteria; Burkholderiales; Burkholderiaceae
Description: bacterial SSU rRNA
Rfam family: Bacterial small subunit ribosomal RNA
Source: RNAcentral